Molecule: long non-coding RNA, 1729 nt
Organism: Equus asinus (donkey)
Lineage: Eukaryota; Metazoa; Chordata; Mammalia; Perissodactyla; Equidae
Source: Ensembl
CUCCUCCCCUCCCUGCAGGCAGCCUGUGCCUUUUCUCCAAACGGAGACAGCACUUUGAAAAUUCUUUCAAUGGAUUUUUUUCCUUGAAAGAUCGUACUGGGGGAAAAUGAUACUUCUAUUAGUUACAUAUUCUCCAAUCGCACACUCGCACCCCCCUCGUUUUGAGAUCGCUCCCCUAGGCAGGCUCAGGCGGGCGCGGAGCGGCGCGGAGUGACAAAGCCGCCACCGCCGCCGCCGGGGGUGGGAGCCACGCUCGCCCGCCCGCCCCUCGACUCGGGAGAGCGUAAAAGUUUGUCUCAGCUCCAGCAUCCCCAGCCUCAACAUGCCCUCAGGUAAAGGUGGGAGUAAAUGGCCACGCUGUAUUGACAGAGGUAGGGUUUGUUUUUUAAUACUACUCCUUCUCACUUUAAAUUUCACCAGGGAGGGGUUUGGGAAGCGCUGCGUGUUUGGGGUGCGUUUUGCGCUUCCCGGUCUCUCCAGCCUGCAAGUCGGGAGUCGGCGACCGCUUAGUGACGAGCGACGAUUUUAAAGAGAAUAAAGGCUUUUCCGUGCCUGCCCCACAGCCCCUCCAGCUCGAAUAAUGGAGAGGCAGUCAAUGCACUCUGCAAGCGGCGGCCCAUUGUACGCAGCUGAUGGAGAGGAAGCGACUGGGGCCGGCAGGGGCUCCUUGCUCUCACCCCUCUCCCCAAAUAAACGCGCUCACCUCUCCUGGUCAGUUAAAAGGUGAAACGAACAUGAUUAAAAGACCAAAAAAAAAAAAAAAAAAAAGGAAAAGAACAAGAACAAGCUUUCUAUAUACAAAUUCUAAAUUUUACUCCCAAUACGGUACGGAGGCAGGCAGUCGAGGGCAGAGGAAGCAGGCAGAGAGAGGGAGACAGGGAGAAGGAAAGAGAACGUGGAAAGAGACGGAGCGAGUGGAAGAGGAGGCGAGAGCGAGCGCCAGGGAACCGGAGGCCCGCUGGACGCCCGGUCCGCGGGCCCAGCCACCCUCGGACCCUGGACCGUGAGUCAUGGGCACCAGAAGCGAGAUUCGGCCGAGUCCUGCCCCACCAGGCAAGGAUUGAGGAACGGAAAUACCACCAUCCUCCAGCCAAACUUGUGAGGACUGAUUGCAAGGGAACUGGGGCUCCAGAUGUUGCACUAGAGGCGCUGCAAGUGUGAGCAGGUGGCAGUGGACCUACAUCACAGGUUGUAGCAAAUGUUCUCAACAUUUCUAUUGAAAUCUUUAUCUCUGCUUGCAAGAGGAGCCCCAGAGCCUCAUCCCUGUGGGAGUGACUGUCCUCUGAUAUAAGCGUUGUUCACCAGGGAGCUUUGGCAAGAGAACUGGCUAGAUCAGCAAGUCCAUCUCCACUGUGAAAAAGCAACUUGAAGCUCAUCUCUAUUGACGAAAAAUCUUACAAGGCAGGAAGUUAUUACUUUGAGGACGUGAGUUGGGAAUCCUCAUUCACACACAUCUAUUCAAGAAUCAUCAGUGGAGGCAGCCGUUCAUCAGGCCAUCCCACCUGGAAUAUGGUUUGAAGCAGUUCAGCAAUUCCUCAGGAAAGGACUUCAAAUGGCCAAUGUGUUCACAUAGCCUAUUUUUCUAGAGCUUUAUCAUCUUUAGAAGGUCAUUGGCCACCAUACCAUUGAUGUCAUCUGAUCGAGCGUGAAGCUGUAUUAAUUAGGUUGCUGGAGAGUCAAACAUACAAAGAACCAUUUCAAUAAAAGGUGGUAUCUUCUACAGAUGAGG